RNAcentral lists this long non-coding RNA (558 nucleotides) under Citrus sinensis (sweet orange). RNAcentral describes it as "long non-coding RNA (CSIN_LNC003043)". The record is from RNAcentral. Lineage: Eukaryota; Viridiplantae; Streptophyta; Magnoliopsida; Sapindales; Rutaceae.
UAUAUUUGAAAUUGUUUAGGAUAAUGGGAUGGGACAAGAUAUUUAAUAGAAUGGGACUAGGGGUGGGCAUCAGAUCGGAUUCGGAUAGAUCCGAUCUGAACCGAAUAAGUUCGGAUCGGAUUCAGAUUUAGCUUCAAAUCCAAUCAGAUAUAAUUUGUGCAAUCCGAUCGGAUUUGAUUUGGAUCGUAUCAGAUUCGGGUCAAUCCAAAUAAUCCGAUCAGAUUGCACUGUUACUUAAAAAAAAUAAAAGUAGAAAAUCAUAAAAAAAUAAAAACUCAAACCUGAUUCCCAAUUCCCAAAUCAAUAAAACAAAACAACCUAGCCACAACCACAAUGAGCUAACCCACAACCACCAACCACAUCCACCGACUGCGACCUAACGCACACGACGACCCAUGUCGCCGGCGACACAACUCGAACGAAUCCAGCCGCGUCUGAAAAAUACCGUCAUGGGGUUAUGAUAAAUUUUUGUCCCAAAACAAAUAAAGAAUAGGAAUGAGACAUUUUUUUAUUUCAUUUACAUAUACGGACGAGAUUGUGAUGAGAUUUGUCAAUUUC